Molecule: ribosomal RNA, 1837 nt
Filed under: sediment metagenome
Description: bacterial LSU rRNA
Rfam family: Bacterial large subunit ribosomal RNA
Source: RNAcentral
GUAACAGCUCACUAGUUAAACGGUCUCGCGUCGAAAAUGUAACGGGACUCAAGCAAAGAACCGACGCUAUGGUUUUGUUAUCUCUUCGGAGGUAACAGAAGGUAGGGGAGCAUUGAUGUCAUUCAAAUUCAUUUUGCUUGCAAAAUGGGUUUGAUUCCAGGCUGUGAAGGUAGACUCGUGAGAGCUACUGGAGCGUCAUCAAGCGAGAAUGUUGGCAUGAGUAACGAGAAGGUGGUGAAAACCCACCUCGCCGGAAGUCUAAGGGUUCCUCCGCUAUGUCAGUCAUCGGAGGGUUAGUCGACCCUAAGGUGAGGCCGAAAGGCGUAACCGAUGGAUAGCAGGUUAAUAUUCCUGCACUACUAUAAAACCGUUUUUACCAAUGGAGGGACGGAGUUUGAUAAGUUGAGCCCAUUAAGGAUUUGGGUCCCAAGAGCAAGUUAGGAAAUGAUAGGAAAAUCCGCAUUUCCGUUUAAGGCGAGCUUUAGGGAGAAAGCCAUCUUCGGAUGGAAUAUUCAGCUGCGUUAAGCUUCCAAGAAAAUCUUCUAGGGAGGUUUUAUAGUAUUCGUACCGCAAACCGACACAGGUAGACGAGUAGAGAAUACUAAGGCGAACGAGAGAACCGUGGUUGAGGAACUAGGCAAAUUACAUCCGUAACUUAGGAAAAAGGAUGCCCUAUCGCAAGGUAGGGGGCACAGAAAUGGCUCAAGCGACUGUUUAUUAAAAACACAGGUCCCUGCUAAACUCGUAAGAGGAUGUAUAGGGGCCGACACCUGCCCAGUGCCCGUAAGUUAAAACUGGAGGUGAUUCCUUUACUUGUAAAGGAUGAGCUUUUGGUCCAAGCUCGGGUGAACGGCAGCAGUAACUAUAACUGUUCUAAGGUAGCGUAAUCCCUUGUCGCAUAAUUAUCGACCCGCACGAAAGGUGUAACGACUUGAGCACUCUCUUAAUCACGGACUCGGUGAAAUUGAACUACCGGUAAAGAUGCCGGUUACCUGUUGCUGGACAGAAAGACCCCGUGGAGCUUUACUGUAUCCUGACAUUGGUGCGUACUGCUAACUGUGUAGUGUAGGAGGGAGAUUUUGGCUUUAAACCCAAAAUCGCCAAUGAAACACCUCUCUUUUAUCAGUGCAAACCUAACUGCUUCCCGUUAUCCGGGAAGAGGACAAUGUUUGGAGGACAGUUUAUCUGGGGCGGAUUCCUGCUAAAAAGUAACGCAGGAGCACAAAGGUUCCCUUAUCUCGGAUGGAAAUCGAGAUGUAAGCGUAAAGGUAUAUGGGAGCUUGACUGCAAGACACACAAGUCGCGCAGAUACGAAAGUAGGUCUUAGUGAUCUUCCGUGUGCCUAAUGGUAGGCCCGGAACUUAUCGGAUAAAAGUUACCCCGGGGAUAACAGGCUAAUAGUGCCCGAGCGCCCACAGCGGCGGCACUGUUUGGCACCUCGAUGUCGACUCUUCUUAUCCUGGGGCUGGAGCAGGUCCCAAGGGUUGGACUGUUCGUCCAUUAAAAAGGAGCGUUAGUUGGGUUUAGAGCGUCGUGAGACAGCUCGGUCCCUUUCCGCAACAGGCGUAGAGUUUUGAGGGGAGUCAUUCCUAGUACGAGAGGACCGGAAUGAACGAGUCUCUAGUGCACCAGUUGUUCCGCCAGGAGCAUCGCUGGGUAGCUACACUCGGAUGUGAUAAGCGCUGAAAGCAUCUAAGCACGAAGCACACCCCAAGAUUAGAACUCAUCCCAUUUAUGGGACGCAAUUCCUGGGAGACUACCAGGUUGAUAGGCUGCAGGUGUAAGCCCCGUAAGGGGUGCGUAGAUUUCGCAAGAAAUUUCAGCCGAGCAGUACUAA